UCUAAUGAUGUUCAUUCAGGUGUCCC
RNAcentral lists this non-coding RNA (26 nucleotides) under Homo sapiens (human). The record is from RNAcentral. Lineage: Eukaryota; Metazoa; Chordata; Mammalia; Primates; Hominidae.